This 75-nucleotide transfer RNA is filed under the name Parcubacteria group bacterium. Its description in RNAcentral is "tRNA-Gly". It matches the Rfam family "tRNA". From Rfam's summary of the family: Transfer RNA (tRNA) molecules are approximately 80 nucleotides in length. Their secondary structure includes four short double-helical elements and three loops (D, anti-codon, and T loops). Further hydrogen bonds mediate the characteristic L-shaped molecular structure. tRNAs have two regions of fundamental functional importance: the anti-codon, which is responsible for specific mRNA codon recognition, and the 3' end, to which the tRNAs corresponding amino acid is attached (by aminoacyl-tRNA synthetases). tRNAs cope with the degeneracy of the genetic code in two manners: having more than one tRNA (with a specific anti-codon) for a particular amino acid; and 'wobble' base-pairing, i.e. permitting non-standard base-pairing at the 3rd anti-codon position. The record is from RNAcentral.
GCGGGUAUCGUAUAACGGCUAUUAUUACAGAUUUCCAAUCUGUCGACGUGGGUUCGAUUCCCACUACCCGCUCCA